AAGCGCUUAUGACCAGACUUGCGCCGGGUUGAUCAUCCAGUGUUCUCACUGGUGCACUCUUCCCGGUUCAGGCCAGCAUCGGUUCUGUCGGGGGCAUAAAGGCAGUGGGAACGUAUCUCUU
This 121-nucleotide ribosomal RNA is filed under the name Orbiliales sp. RNAcentral describes it as "partial large subunit ribosomal RNA". Lineage: Eukaryota; Fungi; Ascomycota; Orbiliomycetes; Orbiliales. The record is from RNAcentral.